Molecule: long non-coding RNA, 416 nt
Organism: Dalotia coriaria
Lineage: Eukaryota; Metazoa; Arthropoda; Insecta; Coleoptera; Staphylinidae
Exons: 3
Source: RefSeq, a predicted model, not a curated record
CUGAGGCUGAGGGCGUACGCUGCGGCGGACAUAUUGGCGAGUUCUACGAUGAUGCAGAAAGGAUGAACACGUCUUGUCGUUGAUACUACACAAUCGUACAAUAAAAUAUUUGCCUUGCCAUGGAGUCCAUGAGUUGUGCAAUGAGUAACGGUGAAAACGAGCGAUAUUUGAGUGUUUAGAUGUUUUCUUGUCUGCACCUAAAAUUUUUCUUUUGUAACACCCUGUAUAUUUGUUUCCAUUUUCCAUCACCUAGAAAAUAGACAAUUUGCUAAUUUCUCUAUCCCGGCAGAACAUUUUGACGUGUAACUUGCUUAUAUGUGCGCGACGAUGCAGGUCGUAAGUUCUGUGCCAAUACGGCGGCAUGAUAUUGUUGACUUGUAAAAUCUAAACUGGUAUUCUAUUGUUAAUAAAGAAAU